Molecule: ribosomal RNA, 253 nt
Filed under: uncultured bacterium
Lineage: Bacteria
Description: partial 16S ribosomal RNA
Rfam family: Bacterial small subunit ribosomal RNA
Source: RNAcentral
UACGUAGGGUGCAAGCGUUGUCCGGAAUUAUUGGGCGUAAAGAGCGUGUAGGCGGCCAGGUAGGUCUGCUGUGAAAACUCGAGGCUUAACCUCGAGCUGUCGGCGGAAACCAUCUGGCUAGAGUCCGGAAGAGGAGAAUGGAAUUCCCGGUGUAGCGGUGAAAUGCGCAGAUAUCGGGAAGAACACCCGUGGCGAAGGCGGUUCUCUGGGACGGUACUGACGCUGAUGCGCGAAAGCGUGGGGAGCGAUCCGG